This 580-nucleotide ribosomal RNA is filed under the name uncultured Pseudozyma. RNAcentral's name for it is "eukaryotic LSU rRNA". It matches the Rfam family "Eukaryotic large subunit ribosomal RNA", at positions 96 to 657 of the family's 3401-position model. The record is from RNAcentral. Lineage: Eukaryota; Fungi; Basidiomycota; Ustilaginomycetes; Ustilaginales; Ustilaginaceae.
GAGAGGGAAGAGCCCAAGAUUGAAAGCUGGCGUCUUCGGCGUCCGCAUUGUAAUCUCAAGAAGUGUUUUCCGCUUCGGACCAUGCCUAAGUCCCUUGGAAAAGGGCAUCAUAGAGGGUGAUAAUCCCGUACAUGGCAUGGAGCGCCCGUAGCUUUGUGAUACGCUUUCUAAGAGUCGAGUUGUUUGGGAAUGCAGCUCAAAAUGGGUGGUAAAUGCCAUCUAAGGCUAAAUAUUGGGGAGAGACCGAUAGCGAACAAGUACAGUGAUGGAAAGAUGAAAAGAACUUUGAAAAGAGAGUUAAACAGUACGUGAAAUUGCCAAAAGGGAAGGGUAGGAGGUCAGAGAUGCGUUCUGGGAUUCAGCCUUGCUUUUGCUUGGUGUUUUUCCCAGAUUGCAGGCCAACGUCGGUUUUGGGCGCCGGAGAAGGGUGGAAGGAAUGUGGCACCUCUCGGGGUGUGUUAUAGCCUUCUACUGGAUACAGUGACCGAGACCGAGGACAGCAGCGUACUCGCAAGAGCGGGCCUUCGGGCACCUUUACGCUUAGGGCGUUGGCAUAAUGGCCCUCUACCACCCGUCUUGA